Molecule: ribosomal RNA, 119 nt
Filed under: Naegleria gruberi
Lineage: Eukaryota; Heterolobosea; Eutetramitea; Acrasida; Naegleriidae
Source: RNAcentral
GGCUACGGCCAUAUCACGAUGAAUUCACCUCAUCCCGUCCGAUUUGAGAAGUUAAGCAUCGUCGAGCCACAUCAGUACUGAGGUUGGAGACAACUUGGGAACCUGUGGUGCUGUAGUCU